RNAcentral lists this ribosomal RNA (494 nucleotides) under uncultured bacterium. Its description in RNAcentral is "partial 16S ribosomal RNA". It matches the Rfam family "Bacterial small subunit ribosomal RNA", at positions 28 to 507 of the family's 1533-position model. The record is from RNAcentral.
GACGAACGCUGGCGGCGUGCUUAACACAUGCAAGUCGAACGGAAAGGCCUGCUUUCCCUUGUGGAUUGCGGGUACUCGAGUGGCGAACGGGUGAGUAACACGUGAGUGAUCUGCCCCCAACUUGGGUAUAAGCCUGGGAAACUGGGUCUAAUUCCCGAUAGGACUGCAGGGUGGUGCCUGUGGUGGAAAACGAUUUUCUAGUGGUUGGGGAUGAGCUCGCGGCCUAUCAGCUUGUUGGUGGGGGAAUGGCCUACCAAGGCGGCGACGGGUAGCCGGCCUGAGAGGGUGGACGGCCACAUUGGGACUGAGAUACGGCCCAGACUCCUACGGGAGGCAGCAGUGGGGAAUAUUGCCCAAUGGGCGGAAGCCUGAUGCAGCGACGCCGCGUGGGGGAUGACGGCCUUCGGGUUGUAAACUCCUUUCGACCGCGAGGAAGCCACCUGGUUGGAAGGGUGGUGACGGUAGUGGUAGAAGAAGCACCGGCUAACUACGUG